AAAUUGAAGAGUUUGAUCAUGGCUCAGAUUGAACGCUGGCGGCAGGCCUAACACAUGCAAGUCGAGCGGUAGCACAGAGAGCUUGCUCUCGGGUGACGAGCGGCGGACGGGUGAGUAAUGUCUGGGAAACUGCCUGAUGGAGGGGGAUAACUACUGGAAACGGUAGCUAAUACCGCAUAACGUCGCAAGACCAAAGUGGGGGACCUUCGGGCCUCAUGCCAUCAGAUGUGCCCAGAUGGGAUUAGCUAGUAGGUGGGGUAACGGCUCACCUAGGCGACGAUCCCUAGCUGGUCUGAGAGGAUGACCAGCCACACUGGAACUGAGACACGGUCCAGACUCCUACGGGAGGCAGCAGUGGGGAAUAUUGCACAAUGGGCGCAAGCCUGAUGCAGCCAUGCCGCGUGUGUGAAGAAGGCCUUCGGGUUGUAAAGCACUUUCAGCGGGGAGGAAGGCG
RNAcentral lists this ribosomal RNA (454 nucleotides) under Klebsiella pneumoniae. Its description in RNAcentral is "bacterial SSU rRNA". It matches the Rfam family "Bacterial small subunit ribosomal RNA", at positions 1 to 453 of the family's 1533-position model. RNAcentral also lists the same sequence under 91 other names. Lineage: Bacteria; Pseudomonadati; Pseudomonadota; Gammaproteobacteria; Enterobacterales; Enterobacteriaceae. The record is from RNAcentral.